UUGAAACACCGGUUCUCGUACGAUCACUGAAGUUAAGCAACGUCGAGUCUGGUCAGAACCUAGAUGGGUGACCGUUUGGAAACACCAGGUACUGUAAG
Molecule: non-coding RNA, 98 nt
Organism: Acanthosepion pharaonis
Lineage: Eukaryota; Metazoa; Mollusca; Cephalopoda; Sepiida; Sepiidae
Source: the annotation of a GenBank genome assembly